CAAUGAGUUACUUAUCUCAUUGAUUAUAUUGAAUAAAUUAUUUAUGUUGAAUGAAUAAUUAUAUUUGCAGAAACCAUUAAAAACUCAGAAAAAGAAAGGGAAUGGAACCGAGAGAUAAAAUAUUAAUCCUAAAAUACUUUCUAAGCAUCUUCAAUGGAAUUUUCUUGCUUUCACAGGUGAGAACCACUUGGUAGCAUGCAUUUCUUAUAUGUUGCUUGGCGCUGAAUCCAUUGUUGUUUUUAUUUCAUUCUUGGGAUUCCUAGGAAUCUUUGAAGAAAUCAGAUGGUUACUAAUUCUGUAUCUGGGACUCAUAGUCUUGCUGUUUGGUGUCCAAGUUGCAAUGCCAGUGCUAAUAUAUACAAGAAAAGAAGAGGUCCAGAUUAUGUGGAAUGACAGAAUUGAUGCAGUUAUUUCUAACUAUGGGAACAAAAAUCUGACUGGAAGAGAACAUGAGUGGGAUAUUCUGAAUGCUGUGCAGAAUACUGUAGNAACCAGUGUGUAUUGUAAAUGCUCUGUAUUAACAGGUCCAGAUUAUGUGGAAUGA
RNAcentral lists this long non-coding RNA (544 nucleotides) under Gopherus agassizii (Agassiz's desert tortoise). Its description in RNAcentral is "lncRNA (ENSGAGG00000014603.1)". The record is from RNAcentral. Lineage: Eukaryota; Metazoa; Chordata; Testudines; Testudinidae.